AGUGCGAGGGUCCGAUUUUUCUGCCGAGAAAUCGGAGCUAAUGGUCAAGCUACUAAGGGCGCACGGUGAAUGCCUUGGCGCCAGGAGUCGAUGAAGGACGUGGUAAGCUGCGAUAAGCGUCGGUGAGCCGCAAACAGGCUUUGACCCGGCGAUUUCCGAAUGGGGAAACCCACUCUGGGUAAUACCGGAGUAUCCCCGGCUGAAUACAUAGGCCGGUGGAAGGCAACGCGGGGAAGUGAACCAUCUCAGUACCCGCAGGAGAAGAAAACAAUAGUGAUUCCGCCAGUAGCGGCGAGCGAACGCGGAAGAGCCCAAACCAUCGUGCUUGCACGGUGGGGUUGAAGGGCCUGUCAGGCCGUAAGGCCGACGAGUCACAAACCAGCAAUGUAGCCGAACGGCCUGGAACGGCCGGCCAGAGCGGGUGACAGCCCCGUAGGCGAAACAGUGCUGGCUCGUUGGGCAGGUACCUGAGUACCGCGGGACACGAGAAAUCCCGUGGGAAUCUGCGAGGACCAUCUCGCAAGGCUAAAUACUCCCUGGCGACCGAUAGUGAACCAGUACCGUGAGGGAAAGGUGAAAAGCACCCCUGUUAGGGGAGUGAAAAAGUACCUGAAACCGUGUGCCUACAAGCAGUGGGAGGGCGUUUGCCGGAGGCUUGCCUCUGGUGUUGCCUGACCGCGUGCCUUUUGCAUAAUGAGCCGGCUAGUUA
This 709-nucleotide ribosomal RNA is filed under the name uncultured Acidobacteriota bacterium. RNAcentral's name for it is "bacterial LSU rRNA". It matches the Rfam family "Bacterial large subunit ribosomal RNA", at positions 1 to 630 of the family's 2925-position model. The record is from RNAcentral. Lineage: Bacteria; Pseudomonadati; Acidobacteriota.